GUGUACGUACAAGCAGUGGGAGCACGCUUAGGCGUGUGACUGCGUACCUUUUGUAUAAUGGGUCAGCGACUUAUAUUCUGUAGCAAGGUUAACCGAAUAGGGGAGCCGAAGGGAAACCGAGUCUUAACUGGGCGUUAAGUUGCAGGGUAUAGACCCGAAACCCGGUGAUCUAGCCAUGGGCAGGUUGAAGGUUGGGUAACACUAACUGGAGGACCGAACCGACUAAUGUUGAAAAAUUAGCGGAUGACUUGUGGCUGGGGGUGAAAGGCCAAUCAAACCGGGAGAUAGCUGGUUCUCCCCGAAAGCUAUUUAGGUAGCGCCUCGUGAAUUCAUCUCCGGGGGUAGAGCACUGUUUCGGCAAGGGGGUCAUCCCGACUUACCAACCCGAUGCAAACUGCGAAUACCGGAGAAUGUUAUCACGGGAGACACACGGCGGGUGCUAACGUCCGUCGUGAAGAGGGAAACAACCCAGACCGCCAGCUAAGGUCCCAAAGUCAUGGUUAAGUGGGAAACGAUGUGGGAAGGCCCAGACAGCCAGGAUGUUGGCUUAGAAGCAGCCAUCAUUUAAAGAAAGCGUAAUAGCUCACUGGUCGAGUCGGCCUGCGCGGAAGAUGUAACGGGGCUAAACCAUGCAC
This 635-nucleotide ribosomal RNA is filed under the name Escherichia coli. RNAcentral describes it as "partial 23S ribosomal RNA". It matches the Rfam family "Bacterial large subunit ribosomal RNA", at positions 558 to 1194 of the family's 2925-position model. The record is from RNAcentral. Lineage: Bacteria; Pseudomonadati; Pseudomonadota; Gammaproteobacteria; Enterobacterales; Enterobacteriaceae.